UUAAUAGAAGCCAAAACCCCGCGGCUGUUCACUGUUAAUGAACUUAUUGAUAAUUCCUAUUA
RNAcentral lists this transfer RNA (62 nucleotides) under Ixodes rubicundus. RNAcentral's name for it is "tRNA-Asn". The record is from RNAcentral. Lineage: Eukaryota; Metazoa; Arthropoda; Arachnida; Ixodida; Ixodidae.